GGGGAGGUAGCUCAGUGGUAGAGCGUCCGCUUCGCAUGCGGAAAGGCCGGGGUUCGAUCCCCCGCAUCUCCA
Non-coding RNA from Nematostella vectensis (starlet sea anemone), 72 nucleotides. NCBI's taxonomy places the organism in Eukaryota, Metazoa, Cnidaria, Anthozoa, Actiniaria, Edwardsiidae. The record is from Rfam.